RNAcentral lists this long non-coding RNA (424 nucleotides) under Rattus norvegicus (Norway rat). RNAcentral's name for it is "long non-coding RNA NONRATT000122". Lineage: Eukaryota; Metazoa; Chordata; Mammalia; Rodentia; Muridae. The record is from RNAcentral.
CCAGAACAGGACUGGAAGCCUUUCUGUGCACAGCAGCUUUUCUUUCCCAUGAUUGUUUUGUAAUUAUCGUCUUGAUGCUUUCUGAAGUUAAAUAUGUAAUGAAUGGCUGAGUUUCCUUUUCAGAUUUCUACCCAGUACCCCGUGGUGGACCAUGAGUUUGAUGCUGUGGUUGUAGGUGCAGGCGGGGCAGGCUUGCGAGCUGCAUUCGGCCUUUCUGAGGCAGGCUUUAACACGGCAUGCCUUACAAAGCUCUUUCCUACCCGCUCACAUACUGUUGCAGCACAGGGAGGUAUCAAUGCUGCCCUGGGGAACAUGGAAGAGGACAACUGGAGAUGGCAUUUCUAUGACACUGUGAAAGGCUCUGACUGGCUGGGGGAUCAGGAUGCCAUCCAUUACAUGACAGAGCAAGCUCCUGCCUCCGUGG